Vicia villosa (hairy vetch) is the source of this 1519-nucleotide RNA transcript. It is a transcript of the gene named peroxisome biogenesis protein 3-1-like, with no coding region annotated. The record is from RefSeq and is a predicted model, not a curated record. The transcript is spliced from 4 exons. NCBI's taxonomy places the organism in Eukaryota, Viridiplantae, Streptophyta, Magnoliopsida, Fabales, Fabaceae.
UAUCGCGUCUCUCUCAACAUCGUUUCUCUCAAACUUCACCCAUGUUCAUUCAAUUCAAUCGUUCAGAUUUUAAUCCCAAAUCGAUUGAAUCAUUGAAUUGUUUCAAAAUCAAAUUUCAAUCACAAAUCGCUCAAAUCACUACUAGCACAGAUCUUCGAAUCGGUCCAAUCUCUCAAAAAUUAGUUUCAGUCUCGAUUCGGCGUCGCGGUUUCCGUUCUCGAUUCUCCAUAACUGUUCCCGAUCUCGAUUCUUCGUUGUUGUUCUUGUUCUCGAUUCUCCUUCGGUGUUCCCGUUCUCUAUCCACCAUCGUUCUCGUUCUCAGUCCUAAAGCAGCACCUUCGGUGAUAGCGAUUUAGGUUUAAGUAUUUAUGUUUCUGAUAUGGAUCUUUCUAUGGUUGCUUCAAAUGGGUCCAGGUUGCCGAUAUAGAAUAGAUUCAGAUUAGGUCAGGAAACGAAAUUAGCCUAACGUUGUUCAUGGCAUUGAAUCACUUGUAUGCACAUCUUCCACUUGUAUGCAACAACUGUAAGCUUCAUCAUCAACACCAUACUGUGUUCUCUCCAUGUGUUUCAGUUUCAAGAUAGCUUUGUGUUUCAGCUCCGUUUUGUUUGUGAAUAGCAUAGAACAACCACCUGAACGAAAAAGACAGUUAGAUAACAUCAUUUUUUUGUCCUUUCCACAGUACCAAUGAGAACCAAGAUCUUCUGUGCUAACAACAAUUCCUAAGGAGUUUUCAUGUGUUUUGAAAAGCUGUUGCACAAGAUCAAUAGCCACAAUACUUGCACUACACCCCAUUCCUGCAAGAUUGAACACUUUUACAUCUUCUCUCAUUUUGUAUCGGUUUAUUAUUCUUGCUGUGAGUGAAGGUAUUGGUGAAAACAACGAAACAUUAACUACAAGAAUAUCGAUUUCCGAAGGAGAGAAACAUGUUUUUUUGAAAAGGUUGUCGAGUGUAUCAAACAUGAUUUCAUCUAUCUCUUCAUUUGUGUCUUUGAGAAACAACUUGAAAAGUUUUAAAAAGGAAUAGAGUAAAGAAAAAUGACACAAAAUCUUUAAGAUAUAUUCCAUGACUUGGAAAUUAUAUCUUAGGGGGAAAUAUUUGUGUUUUGUUUCAAGUUCAAGUGUUUCUCUAUAUAUAUAUAGACACAUGGUUACGCUGUCUUUUUAAGUUUGCAAGUGGCAAAUGGCAAAUGGAUAGCUUUUACAAGUUGCAUGGUAUUCCCUACAAACAACCGGAACUACUGGACCAUACUAUAUUGACUACUGAUAUUUUAUUCUCUUGUUCUAAAAUGUAAUUUAUAAAAAAAUGUUUUGUACUUUUUUUUGUAACAUAUAUGGAUAAAGCUUAUGUAGGGUUCUAGUCACUAAGUUUUCAACAUUUAACAAAAUGUAUAGAGAUACAUAUAAUGUGUCUUUUGAGAACACAGUAUGGUGCUGAUGAUGAAGCUUACAGUUGUUGCAUACAAGUGGAAGCUUACAGUUUUUUCUAUUCAUUUAUGCUUCAUUCUUUAAUUUCCCUUG